Molecule: ribosomal RNA, 250 nt
Filed under: uncultured bacterium
Lineage: Bacteria
Description: partial 16S ribosomal RNA
Rfam family: Bacterial small subunit ribosomal RNA
Source: RNAcentral
UACGAAGGGUGCAAGCGUUGUUCGGAAUCAUUGGGCGUAAAGCGCGCGCAGGCGGAUCAGUAAGUCAGGUGUGAAAUCUCGAAGCUCAACUUCGAAAUUGCGCCUGAAACUACUAGUCUAGAAUGUCGGAGGGGGCAGGGGAAUUUCACGUGUAGGGGUAAAAUCCGUAGAGAUGUGAAGGAACACCGGGGGCGAAGGCGCCUGCCUGGACGACUAUUGACGCUGAGGCGCGAAAGCGUGGGGAGCAAAC